This 322-nucleotide ribosomal RNA is filed under the name uncultured eukaryote. Its description in RNAcentral is "partial 18S ribosomal RNA". It matches the Rfam family "Eukaryotic small subunit ribosomal RNA", at positions 1470 to 1796 of the family's 1831-position model. The record is from RNAcentral.
CCCUUAGAUGUUCUGGGCCGCACGCGUGCUACACUGAGUAAUUCAAUGGGUAAGGGAAUGCUAGAGCAUUACCUAAUCUUGAAAUUUGCUCGUGAUGGGGAUCGACGGUUGCAAUUUUCCGUCGUGAACGAGGAAUACCUUGUAGGCGCAUGUCAUCAUCAUGCGCCGAAUACGUCCCUGCCCUUUGUACACACCGCCCGUCGCUCCUACCGAUUGAGUGAUCCGGUGAGGCUCUGGGACCUGGACGGAAAGAGCGUUUCGCUUGUUCUGUUUGGGAAACUUGGUCGAACCUUAUCAUUUAGAGGAAGGAGAAGUCGUAACA